UACGAAGGGGGCGAGCGUUGUUCGGAUUUACUGGGCGUAAAGGGCGCGCAGGCGGUUCUGUUUGUCGAGUGUGAAAGCCCCGGGCUCAACCUGGGAACGGCGCUCGAAACGGCGGGACUAGAGAUCGGGAGAGGAGCGUGGAAUUCCCAGUGUAGAGGUGAAAUUCGUAGAUAUUGGGAAGAACACCGGUGGCGAAGGCGGCGCUCUGGACCGAGACUGACGCUGAGGCGCGAAAGCGUGGGGAGCGAACGGG
Molecule: ribosomal RNA, 253 nt
Filed under: uncultured bacterium
Lineage: Bacteria
Description: partial 16S ribosomal RNA
Rfam family: Bacterial small subunit ribosomal RNA
Source: RNAcentral